Molecule: ribosomal RNA, 265 nt
Filed under: unidentified marine bacterioplankton
Lineage: Bacteria
Description: partial 16S ribosomal RNA
Rfam family: Bacterial small subunit ribosomal RNA
Source: RNAcentral
CGUGCUUAACACAUGCAAGUCGAACGAACCUUCGGGUUAGUGGCGGACGGGUGAGUAACGCGUGAGAAUCUGCCCUCAGGAGGGGGAUAACGGCUGGAAACGGCCGCUAAUACCCCAUAUGCCGAGAGGUGAAAUGAAUUUCGCCUGAGGAUGAGCUCGCGUCUGAUUAGCUAGUUGGUGGGGUAAUGGCCUACCAAGGCGACGAUCCAUAGCUGGUCUGAGAGGACGGCCAGCCACACUGGGACUGAGACACGGCCCAGACUCC